RNAcentral lists this long non-coding RNA (1106 nucleotides) under Trifolium pratense (red clover). Its description in RNAcentral is "long non-coding RNA (TPRA_LNC007061)". Lineage: Eukaryota; Viridiplantae; Streptophyta; Magnoliopsida; Fabales; Fabaceae. The record is from RNAcentral.
GUUGUAAAAAAACAAACCAGGUUAUUGUGGUCACCAUAGACCACGUCUAUCCCCAAUCGUGUCGCCUCACGCCGUGCUACUAAGAACUCGCUAUCAUGCUAAUUGAUUAAAAACAGAAGACAUAACAAUUAAUAGUCAAUUUUUUUGUCAAAAAAAAUAAAUUUAAAAAUAAAUUAAUAGUCAUAUUUAAUAUUAUAAAAUAUUCACAUUUUCAGGCUUGUGCAAAAGGCAUGCCCUGAGAGCAUCAAUCUCCAGAAAUACCGUGUCGGGCCUCAGAAUCUCCACUAGUGUUUCAACAUCUUUUCUCGAUUCCUAAGAUCAUAAUUCAUAAAUAAUUCAUUUUUAUGUUAAAAAAUUAUAAAUUUUUAUCGGAGAUGUUCUUAUAAUAUUAUAAACAUUAAUACAAAAGAUCAUUAAAAAAUGUGAAAGUAUACAAUAGUUUGAUUAAAAGUAGGUACUAAAAAUUUUGACGGAAAAAUUUCAGGGACUAAAAAGUGUGAAAAAAUCUUCAGAGACUAAAACGAAAAUUCUGAAAAACUAUAGGGACAAAAGACAUAUUUAACCCUAAUUAAAAAAAUGAGUAAUUACGGCCGUGAGAAUGUCAUCUCAUGUAUGCCAAGUGUAUUUUGCCAUGUGUCUGUGCCAUAUUAGAUUCAACACAUACCUCCGACCUAUGCCUUACUCCGAGAAGAAACACCCUCGAACGGUCGCCUCCAACGGUCCUUCGACAUAGGACCUCCAUUUUCCCUCUCUUCAUAAGUGAAAUACAAAAAUUCUUCAACAUAACUGUGUACAUUAAAGCAAAUACUUAUGUAAUUAAAAUCAAAAUUAAAAACAAAACAAACCCACUGGGGGUACAUUACAGAAACAGAAGGUAAGGAAAGUAAAAGAAGGAAAUCUAGGCUCAAGGUCCAAUUCUGCAAGCAGAAAAAAAACACAAAAAAAAGAAAAAGAAAAAGGAACUCUGGGAUCUCUCUAAGCCCAAGAUCCAAGGUAUGCAGAACCAAGAUCUCUCUAAGCCCAAGAUCCAAGGUAUGCAGAACCGAGAUCUCUCUAAGCCCAAGGCCCAGUUCUGCUAAAGUUCAAAUAACAAAUAAUAAUCCUGC